Pteronotus mesoamericanus is the source of this 102-nucleotide small nuclear RNA. NCBI's taxonomy places the organism in Eukaryota, Metazoa, Chordata, Mammalia, Chiroptera, Mormoopidae. The record is from RefSeq and is a predicted model, not a curated record.
GUGCUCACUUCUCAGCGCAUAUACUGAAAUUGGAAUGAUACAAGAUUAGCAUGGUCCCUGGGGAAAGAUGACAUGCAAAUUCGUUAAGUGUCCCAUAUUUUU